UUGAACGUUGGCGGCAGGCCUAACACAUGCAAGUCGAGCGGAUGAAGGGAGCUUGCUCCUGGAUUCAGCGGCGGACGGGUGAGUAAUGCCUAGGAAUCUGCCUGGUAGUGGGGGAUAACGUCCGGAAACGGGCGCUAAUACCGCAUACGUCCUGAGGGAGAAAGUGGGGGAUCUUCGGACCUCACGCUAUCAGAUGAGCCUAGGUCGGAUUAGCUAGUUGGUGGGGUAAAGGCCUACCAAGGCGACGAUCCGUAACUGGUCUGAGAGGAUGAUCAGUCACACUGGAACUGAGACACGGUCCAGACUCCUACGGGAGGCAGCAGUGGGGAAUAUUGGGCAAUGGGCGAAAGCCUGAUCCAGCCAUGCCGCGUGUGUGAAGAAGGUCUUCGGAUUGUAAAGCACUUUAAGUUGGGAGGAAGGGCAGUAAGUUAAUACCUUGCUGUUUUGACGUUACCAACAGAAUAAGCACCGGCUAACUUCGUG
Molecule: ribosomal RNA, 483 nt
Filed under: uncultured bacterium
Lineage: Bacteria
Description: partial 16S ribosomal RNA
Rfam family: Bacterial small subunit ribosomal RNA
Source: RNAcentral